Molecule: ribosomal RNA, 465 nt
Filed under: uncultured bacterium
Lineage: Bacteria
Description: partial 16S ribosomal RNA
Rfam family: Bacterial small subunit ribosomal RNA
Source: RNAcentral
CCUACGGGGUGCAGCAGUGGGGAAUAUUGCGCAAUGGGCGAAAGCCUGACGCAGCGACGCCGCGUGAGGGAUGAAGGUCUUCGGAUCGUAAACCUCUGUCAGCAGGGAAGAACGGUCACUGUGCUAAUCAGCAGUGAAUUGACGGUACCUGCAAAGGAAGCACCGGCUAACUCCGUGCCAGCAGCCGCGGUAAUACGGAGGGUGCGAGCGUUAAUCGGAAUUACUGGGCGGAAAGCGCUCGUAGGCGGUAUGUUAAGUCAAGGGUGAAAUCCCCGCGCUCAACGUGGGAACGGCCUUUGAAACUGGCAAACUUGAGUGUGUGAGAGGAUAGUGGAAUUCCAGGUGUAGGAGUGAAAUCCGUAGAUAUCUGGAGGAACAUCAGUGGCGAAGGCGACUAUCUGGCACAUAACUGACGCUGAGGAGCGAAAGCGUGGGUAGCAAACAGGAUUAGAUACCCGAGUAGUC